AGCUCCAAUAGCGUAUAUUAAAGUUGUUGCAGUUAAAAAGCUCGUAGUUGGAUUUCUGGCAGGAGUGACUGACCACAAACUCUGUUUGUGAGUUGUGUCAUUCUGGCCAUCCUUGGUAAGAUCCUUUUUGGCAUUAAGUUGUCGGGAAGGGGAUGACCAUCGUUUACUGUGAAAAAAUUAGAGUGUUUAAAGCAGGCUUAUGCCGUUGAAUAUAUUAGCAUGGAAUAAUAAGAUAGGACUUUGAGUCUAUUUUGUUGGUUUGCGAGUCAAAGUAAUGAUUAAUAGGGACAGUUGGGGGUAUUCGUAUUUCAUUGUCAGAGGUGAAAUUCUUGGAUUUCUGAAAGACGAACUACUGCGAAAGCAUUUACCAAGGAUGUUUUCAUUA
Molecule: ribosomal RNA, 385 nt
Filed under: uncultured Skeletonema
Lineage: Eukaryota; Bacillariophyta; Thalassiosirophyceae; Thalassiosirales; Thalassiosiraceae
Description: SSU rRNA
Rfam family: Eukaryotic small subunit ribosomal RNA
Source: RNAcentral